RNAcentral lists this ribosomal RNA (194 nucleotides) under uncultured rumen bacterium. RNAcentral describes it as "partial 16S ribosomal RNA". It matches the Rfam family "Bacterial small subunit ribosomal RNA", at positions 338 to 524 of the family's 1533-position model. The record is from RNAcentral.
CCUACGGGAGGCAGCAGUAGGGAAUCUUCCGCAAUGGGCGAAAGCCUGACGGAGCAACGCCGCGUGAGUGAUGAAGGUCUUAGGAUCGUAAAACUCUGUUGUUAGGGAAGAACAAAUUUGUUAGUAACUGAACAAGUCUUGACGGUACCUAACCAGAAAGCCACGGCUAACUACGUGCCAGCAGCCGCGGUAAU